Molecule: non-coding RNA, 1896 nt
Filed under: Amanita inopinata
Lineage: Eukaryota; Fungi; Basidiomycota; Agaricomycetes; Agaricales; Amanitaceae
Description: SSU rRNA
Rfam family: Bacterial small subunit ribosomal RNA (bases 1-1672)
Source: RNAcentral
AUCAGGAUGAAUUUAAUUUUGGUUCUGAUUGAACGUUUUUCAGUAGUUUUGAGACAUGCAAAUCGUUGUUCUUAAAAGUUUUAUGUUAAAGUGGAAAAUAGUCACUAAAAAUAAUAUAAGACCAAUAAGAAUAAGGUGUAAAGGUGAGUAUUGUAAAUCAGAUACCUUAUAGUCUUCUUAAUUCGGAGAUAUUUUUACUUCUGGAAUUAUACCAAUUAACUAUUUAAGGUUGCAAUGACAGAUACUUAUUAAAAUUAGUUAAAUAAUAAUUUAUAUAAUUUAAUAAGAACAAGUAAAAAGAUAAAUUAGCUAUUUAUCAAGAAAGGAAUUUUUCUGCUAUAAGAUUCGAUUUAUUUUGUUUAAUGGUAGUUGGUAGGGUAAAGGCCUACCAAGCCUACGAUCAAAAGCCAAGUUUGAUAGAACAGAUGGCCACAUUGGGAAUGAAAAGCCCCAAGUAGUUUAAACUACCAGCAGUCAAGAAUAUUAGUCAAUGCUCGCAAGAGUGAACUAGCUAACUGAAAUCACAUGAGACAUAAGUGUGUUAAAUGUGAUAAGGUAAGGGAAAAAACUGAUUUAACCUUACUAUUAGUGUUGUCCAAAUCUGGUGCCAGAAGACUCGGUAAGACCAGAAACGCAAACGUUAAUCGUCCUAAUCAGGCGUAAAGGGUUUGUAGGCCGCUUUAACUAUUUUUGUUUAAAAAGCUCUGAAUCUUUAAAAAUUCAGUAAAUAGAAAUACACUAAAAGCUAGAAUCAAAUAGAGGAUAAGCCGAAUAAUACUUAGAGUAGGGAUGAUAUCCAUAGAUACUAAGGGGAAUACUAAAGGUGAAAGCUUUUAUCUACUAUUGAUUGACGCUGAGAAACGAAGGUGAGAAUAGGAAAUAGGAUUAGAUACCCAGAUACCUCUCACUGUCAACGAUGAAUGGUGGUUUGUUAGUUUUAAUAAAAACUGAUAACGAUGUUAACGCGAUAACCAUUCCGCCUUGCGAGUACGGUUGCAAAACUGAAACCAAAAAAAUUAGUCGGUCUCGAAGCAAACGAAGUGAAGCAUGUUAUUUAAUACGAAAGUACGCGUAAAAUCUUACCUGUUCUUGCAUAGCCAUUCUUUACUAGAAAUAUCUAGUAACUUUUAAAUAAGUAACAGAAUGAGUAGUAAUCUAAUUAUUAUAUAUUAGAUUAUUCGUUUACAGGUGUUGCAUGGCUGUCGUCAGUCCGUGUUUUGAGAAGUUAGGUUAACUCCGCUAACGGACGCAAUCCCUGUUGUUAAUUUAUACUUAACAAUUAAUGAAUUUUAUAUAUUUUCAUUUGGGGCUAAGACAAGUCGUUAUGAUCCUCAUGAACAGGGCUAUAGACGUGCUACAAGAACUUUUACAAAGUGAAGCAAAAACCAGACCCUUGUACUUUGUUUAUACAACAAAAGUUAAUAUUUAAUAUAAUAUUAAAUAAUAGGGUUAUAAGGAAUAGCUAAUCAUUAAAGAAAGUUAAAUAAUUAAAUUAUAGACGGAUUGUCGCCUGCAAUUCGGUGACAUGAAGAAGGAAUUUCGAGUAAUCGUUGAUCACUACGCAACGGUGAAGAUGGAAUUCGGGAUGAACUAACUGUCUGUCGCUGGGAAGGAGCUUAAAUUGGGGGAAACUGCCACGAGGUUAAAACUUAAACAAAGGAAAACACAUAUUAAUAAUAUCCGCAAAAAUAUUAUUAUUAAAUUUUAUUCUGUAAUAAGAUUAAAGUUAAGUGUAGUUUCUAUGCUAUUUUAUAGUAUUUUUAAUAUUGUAAUUUAGUCUUUUAUAAAAAAAACACCUUUGUUAAGCUAAUUAGUAUCAGUUAACUCAAUUAAGUAACAUUUCAAAAGUCAUAGCAAGGUAGUGGUACUGGAAAGUGCUGCUGGAAAAUAAAAUAU